This 650-nucleotide long non-coding RNA is filed under the name Homo sapiens (human). RNAcentral describes it as "HSALNT0180649". The record is from RNAcentral. Lineage: Eukaryota; Metazoa; Chordata; Mammalia; Primates; Hominidae.
UCUGAGCAUGCAUUACUUUCAUAUAUGGGGAAGAACCCUCUCUGGACUGAGGGUUUUAUGACCGGCAGUCAAACAGGAGUAAACAGAAGAAACCAGCUCUGGAAACAAGUAACAGAUGACUCAUUCCUUCGUUGCCUUGAGCCAAUCAUCUGGGGCCACAACUGGACUCCUCCUCUGGUUUGUUGUCCAGACAUAGCAGCUGACCAACAUUCCUUCCUGAUAACAGACCAUCAACCUGGGAGUGGUUCUGGCCAGUCUAUGGAGGAUGCGCAAUGCAACUCUCCUCCAUGUAAGACAACUUUACAGGACUAUUCUUGUCUGUAGCCUCUCUGAGUAGCCAUCUGAAAAUAUGGCAAAAAGUAUAUUUUAAGCCUGUCACCCAGACUGGAGUGCAGUGUUGCAAUCACAGCUCAACCUCUCAGGCUCAAGUGAUCAACCCAAAGUAGCUGGGACCACAGGUGUGCACCACCAUGUCCUGCUAAUGUUUUUUUCUUAAUUAUUUUGGUGGAGCCAGAGUCUCAUCAUGUUGCUCAGUCUGAUCUCAAAUUCUUGGGCUCAAGGAAUCCACCCCCUGCCUGGCCUCCCAAAUUGUUGGGAUUAUAGGUAUGAGCCACUGCAUCUGGCUUAUUCAAUCUAUUUUUAAGUUCACC